ACCUUCGGGCCUCUUGCCAUCGGAUGUGCCCAGAUGGGAUUAGCUAGUAGGUGGGGUAACGGCUCACCUAGGCGACGAUCCCUAGCUGGUCUGAGAGGAUGACCAGCCACACUGGAACUGAGACACGGUCCAGACUCCUACGGGAGGCAGCAGUGGGGAAUAUUGCACAAUGGGCGCAAGCCUGAUGCAGCCAUGCCGCGUGUAUGAAGAAGGCCUUC
This 218-nucleotide ribosomal RNA is filed under the name Escherichia coli. Its description in RNAcentral is "partial 16S ribosomal RNA". It matches the Rfam family "Bacterial small subunit ribosomal RNA", at positions 199 to 419 of the family's 1533-position model. The record is from RNAcentral. Lineage: Bacteria; Pseudomonadati; Pseudomonadota; Gammaproteobacteria; Enterobacterales; Enterobacteriaceae.